This 377-nucleotide ribosomal RNA is filed under the name uncultured bacterium. RNAcentral describes it as "bacterial SSU rRNA". It matches the Rfam family "Bacterial small subunit ribosomal RNA", at positions 523 to 898 of the family's 1533-position model. The record is from RNAcentral.
AUACGUAGGGGGCGAGCGUUGUCCGGAAUUACUGGGCGUAAAGGGUGCGUAGGCGGCUAUUUAAGUCUCGUGUGAAAGGUCCCGGCUCAACCGGGAACGGCCAUGGGAAACUGGAUAGCUUGAGUGCUGGAGAGGGUUGCGGAAUUCCCGGUGUAGCGGUGAAAUGCGUAGAUAUCAGGAGGAACACCAGUGGCGAAGGCGGCAACCUGGACAGUAACUGACGCUGAUGCACGAAAGCUGGGGGAGCAAACAGGAAUAGAUACCCUGGUAGUCCCAGCCGUAAACGAUGAGUGCUAGGUGUUGCGGGUAUCGACCCCUGCAGUGCCGCAGUUAACGCAAUAAGCACUCCGCCUGGGGAGUACGGCCGCAAGGCUGAA